GUGCUGUUUGUUCUUUCUCUGUGCAGAAAUGUCAGCGUCCUGCUCAUUGUUGUUUUUUUUUCUCCCCCCCACCCCCCUCUCUCUUCAGGGUCCUGGAUGGAGGAAGGUCAGCUGACAUGGCAAGGUCGACAAACAAACAAACAAACAGAAGGAAUUAAAAUAGAGAAAAACAGAGCAGAUGAAACGUGGCGCUGGUGUGUUUUUAUCGCUGCGAGGCUGAUGGCAUGUAGCAGCCAUUACUCUCCGUUGUGUCCUCUGCCCCCCAUUGGCUGCGACAACACCGCCUGGCAGGGCUGCCAGUGUCACGUCAUCUCAUGCUUCUGCUUAACUACGCGGACGACAAGGGCCGUUUCACACCAGGACGGGGUUUUUCUGCCUCUUGCUCCUCAGUGGGUGUUGACAAACCUUGCCUUCCUGCUCUCGGGCACGUAUGGAUGCUCGCUCGGAGAACGUGACCUCUGCUAAACGCGCCUAUCUCGCCUGAAUGGAAGAAGAAGAGCAUGAAAAGACCGCGUGAGUAUAUAAAUGCAGCGCGGCGCAGGAGACAGACAGGCUGAAAGGCAGACAGGUGUUAUGUGAAAUUACAGGCUCCCUUCUCUCUGUGUGGUUGUGGAUUUCGCUGCUCUUUCACUUCUCUCUGGCCUCACCUCUCUCAACAUCCAUCUGUAAUCCUCUCAUUUUUUCCUGCCCACUCCUCCACCGCUUUCUCUCUCAGCCCACCUUCUCGCUCUGCGUGCACGCCGUGUGUGUUUGUGUGUGUGUUAGAGGGAUGAUCUUUUGAUGCCCUCGGUGUGUAUGAGUGCUUUGUCUCUCUACUUUCAGCGGUUGGCCAUUGUGUUUGCAGCCGUCAUACUGCUCUCCCACUCACUCCAUCAGAAAGUGGGCCUGUGCAGGGGCCUAAAUGAAUAUUGAUUCUCCCUCCAGUGCUGAAUGCUGCUGGGUAAAGAAGUGUGCUGUACGCAAUGAAGAGAAUGGGCCCCGAUGGGGGGAAGAGGAGGGUGGAUGACGAUUAGGAUGACGGUGAUCAUGAUGGCGAUAAUGAUAAUGGUGAUGAUAAUGACAGCGUUGGUGAUCAGCAAGCAUGAUGGGGAGCCAUCAGUUGAUGCAUGUAUGUGCAUGUCGCUUGUUUGAUGGCGCCGCUCUGCACAUGUAGUCGCAGUGUUGAGGCGGAAAAAUGCGCGCUUGUGUCUACG
RNAcentral lists this long non-coding RNA (1193 nucleotides) under Sparus aurata (gilthead seabream). RNAcentral's name for it is "lncRNA (ENSSAUG00010016755.1)". Lineage: Eukaryota; Metazoa; Chordata; Actinopteri; Spariformes; Sparidae. The record is from RNAcentral.